This 1085-nucleotide long non-coding RNA is filed under the name Pan paniscus (pygmy chimpanzee). RNAcentral's name for it is "lncRNA (ENSPPAG00000045216.1)". The record is from RNAcentral. Lineage: Eukaryota; Metazoa; Chordata; Mammalia; Primates; Hominidae.
GUGAAUAUGAAGUUAGGUUUUCUCAAUCUCAGAGAAAACAAUGGGAGGAUUCCUUAAGAAAAAUUGUAGUUAUAUUGUUAAUCUGACUCAAACAAUGUAAGCAUGAAUAUGUAAUCUAUAAAAGGGUAGCACUGAGUAGUUUUCAUGAAUUCGAACUCCUAACAAAAUCACCCCUAAAAUUCAUAACGCAAAAAAAAAAAAGAUCAAUUCUAAGUCCUCAGCAUAACCUGCUGCCAGUAUUUGAAACAGCUGAUCACUUUAUCCUUCUAGAAAAACUGCUUUUGCCUUGAUUUUGGGGACGAUUUUGGGGAUAUUUCCUUUUCAGAUUUUUAACUUACUUCCCUGGUAGAUACUUGUCAGAAUUCUUUGCUGGAUCCUGUUAAUUUUCCCAACUGUUAAAUGUCGUUGAUUCCGUGGACACAGUACUUGCUCCCCUAUUCCCUACCAAAGUUCUCACUGACUUCCUUUUAAAGUACCCUGGAAACUGACAGAUUUGUAGCUUCAACCAGAAAAUUCAGGCACAUAUUUACCACAUUCUUAUGAUUUCUUUUUUUCCUGGAUCCACAAAGAUUGAAACUCGCCACAUGGGGGCACAUUCGUUCACCAUAACUGUGACUAAAAUUGGUGACAUUUUAAUUUGCAGGCAAUUACCUCUACAAACACCUCCCUUCAUUAGAAAUAAAAAUUGAGAUGUUCCAAGCAUCUUACAGGUCAAAGAGCUAAGCCAGAUCCUCACUCAAGCACUCAAGAGUUUUUUUGUUGUUUUUUUUUCCCGAGAAAAACUCUGGAGGAACAAACAACUUUGAACAUUUUCCCACUGAAGUCCUAGCGUUUUGGCGCUGACAGCGUUAACUUCUACACGGAAGCUGCCCCUCCGCCCUCCAGAAGGAAAGAGGACCCGUAUGGGAGCCGCAGAGAAGCACCUAGAACCCUGGGGCCUGAGGGCCGGCUGGAGGCAACACAGGGCUGAACCCCUGUCAGCCUGCCGGGGGACGCGGUGCCCGCCCUCCGGCAUCCGGGAAACAGCGUCCCAGCCGGCGCCUGCGCAGGUGCCACACUUCCUGGUCCUCUCUGGCUGCUUCUGA